Molecule: ribosomal RNA, 451 nt
Filed under: uncultured soil bacterium
Lineage: Bacteria
Description: bacterial SSU rRNA
Rfam family: Bacterial small subunit ribosomal RNA
Source: RNAcentral
GGAGCGAACGCUAGCGGCGGGCCUAACACAUGCAAGUCGAGCGCAUACCUUCGGGUAUGAGCGGCGGACGGGUGAGUAACACGUAGGUAAUCUGCCCUGUGGUGGGGGAUAACCCGGGGAAACCCGGGCUAAUACCGCAUAUGGCCUUCGGGUCAAAGCCUUCGGGCGCCAGAGGAUGAGCCUGCGUCGCAUUACCUAGUUGGUGGGGUAAAAAGCCUACCAAGGGGACGAUGCGUAGCUGGUCUGAGAGGAUGAUCAGCCACACUGGGACUGAGACACGGCCCAGACUCCUACGGGAGGCAGCAGUGGGGAGUAUUGCGCAAUGGGCGAAAGCCUGACGCAGCUACGCCGCGUGGGUGAUGAAGGCCUUCGGGUGUAAAGCCCUGUCGGGAGGACGAAGUUCUGACGGUACCUCCCAAGAAAGCACGGCUAACUCCGUGUCAGCAGCCGC